Molecule: long non-coding RNA, 943 nt
Organism: Lathyrus oleraceus (garden pea)
Lineage: Eukaryota; Viridiplantae; Streptophyta; Magnoliopsida; Fabales; Fabaceae
Exons: 2
Source: RefSeq, a predicted model, not a curated record
AUAUUUUUUUUCGCGAAUAAAAGAAAAUUCCAAAAAAAACUGAAUUUUUUUCAUUAAAAUACAAAAAAUAAUUUUUUCCUAAAAAAUAUAAAUCUUUUUAAAAAGUAAGUGAUUUUUUUCAAAAGUAAAAAAAUUGAAAAUUUUCAAAUAUACAAAAAUUAAUAUAUUUAAAAAAACUAUUUUUUCAAAAAUAAAUGGAUGAAUGGAUAUCCAUUUGCUAAAAAUAUGAUAAUGGAUGGAUUAGAUGAAUUUUAUUUUUAAGGGAUGGAUUGGAUUGGAUAUUUUUAAGAAAGUUUUAGUGGAUUGUUAAUGGACUAAUGGAUUGUUUUGAUCCAUCCAUUAACGAUCCAAUCCAUAUCCAUCCAAUUCAUCCAUUUUACCAUCCCUAAUUUAUAGUGAGCAGAGAGAGAAUCUGAAGAUUCAAAAAGUGGUGAAUGUAUACAAAAAAUCCAAGCUACUCUGCAAUUGAUGAAGACUCCAAUUUAUAGAGCUUCCUUGAGCAUGGAAGGUCAAAUGGCUCCGAUGGAUGACAAUGGUCACUUAUCAUUAUACCUACAGCAUCUACCACGUAUGAGUUCCUAAGACUGCUUUGGAUCAUCACUCACAAGUAAGGCUGCACCAUGAGUGAUCCACCGUCAAUCAUUCUUUGUUGAGCUUUGAGGUUGGCCAUGAUGAUUCGGAGUUGUUGUCCCUAGAGCACCAUACGGAUUCUGCUCCUAACUUGGACGCCAAAGCAGUUGUAGAAUCCGUUUUUGUUGUUGGAUAUGCGUCCUAUUUCUGAGUUGGCAGCAUCUAAUGUCUUCAUUCUUGCCCCAAAAUUUCUUGGAAAAAAAGUAGCAUUUUUGCCCAUACAAUGCAGUGAACAAAUCUUGAUGGGGUACUAGUGAUAUAUGUAAUGGUGUAAUGUAUGAACAUAUUUUAAUAAAAUGCUUCUUUUCCUUUA